RNAcentral lists this transfer RNA (72 nucleotides) under Branchiostoma floridae (Florida lancelet). Its description in RNAcentral is "tRNA-Pro (CGG) (tRNA-Pro-CGG-3-1)". It matches the Rfam family "tRNA". From Rfam's summary of the family: Transfer RNA (tRNA) molecules are approximately 80 nucleotides in length. Their secondary structure includes four short double-helical elements and three loops (D, anti-codon, and T loops). The record is from Rfam by way of RNAcentral. RNAcentral also lists the same sequence under 1 other name. Lineage: Eukaryota; Metazoa; Chordata; Leptocardii; Amphioxiformes; Branchiostomatidae.
GGCCUGUUGGUCUAGAGGUAUGAUACUCGCUUCGGGUGCGAGUGGUCCCGGGUUCGACUCCCGGACAGGCCC